This 433-nucleotide ribosomal RNA is filed under the name uncultured bacterium. RNAcentral describes it as "partial 16S ribosomal RNA". It matches the Rfam family "Bacterial small subunit ribosomal RNA", at positions 29 to 507 of the family's 1533-position model. The record is from RNAcentral.
AACGAACGCUGGCGGCAUGCCUAACACAUGCAAGUCGAACGAGACCUUCGGGUCUAGCGGCGCACGGGUGAGUAACGCGUGGGAACCUGCCCUUAGGUUCGGAAUAACUCCCCGAAAGGGGUGCUAAUACCGGAUAAUGUCUUCGGACCAAAGAUUUAUCGCCUUUGGAUGGGCCCGCGUUGGAUUAGCUAGUUGGUAGGGUAAAAGCCUACCAAGGCGACGAUCCAUAGCUGGUCUGAGAGGAUGAUCAGCCACACUGGGACUGAGACACGGCCCAGACUCCUACGGGAGGCAGCAGUGGGGAAUAUUGGACAAUGGGCGAAAGCCUGAUCCAGCAAUGCCGCGUGAGUGAUGAAGGCCUUAGGGUUGUAAAGCUCUUUUACCCGGGAUGAUAAUGACAGUACCGGGAGAAUAAGCUCCGGCUAACUCCGUG